Molecule: ribosomal RNA, 492 nt
Filed under: uncultured bacterium
Lineage: Bacteria
Description: partial 16S ribosomal RNA
Rfam family: Bacterial small subunit ribosomal RNA
Source: RNAcentral
AGUGAACGCUGGCGGUAGGCCUAACACAUGCAAGUCGAACGGCAGCACAGUAAGAGCUUGUUCUUACGGGUGGCGAGUGGCGGACGGGUGAGGAAUACAUCGGAAUCUACUUUUUCGUGGGGGAUAACGUAGGGAAACUUACGCUAAUACCGCAUACGACCUACGGGUGAAAGCAGGGGAUCUUCGGACCUUGCGCGAUUGAAUGAGCCGAUGUCGGAUUAGCUAGUUGGCGGGGUAAAGGCCCACCAAGGCGACGAUCCGUAGCUGGUCUGAGAGGAUGAUCAGCCACACUGGAACUGAGACGCGGUCCAGACUCCUACGGGAGGCAGCAGUGGGGAAUAUUGGACAAUGGGCGCAAGCCUGAUCCAGCCAUACCGCGUGGGUGAAGAAGGCCUUCGGGUUGUAAAGCCCUUUUGUUGGGAAAGAAAAGCAGCAGGUUAAUACCCCGCUGUUCUGACGGUACCCAAAGAAUAAGCACCGGCUAACUUCGUG